RNAcentral lists this ribosomal RNA (216 nucleotides) under Glomeromycotina sp. RNAcentral describes it as "partial small subunit ribosomal RNA". The stretch from base 40 to 216 matches the Rfam family "Eukaryotic small subunit ribosomal RNA", at positions 686 to 864 of the family's 1831-position model. The record is from RNAcentral. Lineage: Eukaryota; Fungi; Glomeromycota.
GGGUCAGUAGGUUGGUCGUGCCACCGGUACGUACUGGUCUCACUGAUUCCUCCUUCCUGAAGAACCGUAAUGCCAUUAAUUUGGUGUUGCGGGGAAACAGGACUGUUACUUCGAAAAAAUUAGAGUGUUUAAAGCAAGCUAACGCUUGAAUACAUUAUCAUGGAAUAAUGAAAUAGGACGUUCGAUCCUAUUUUGUUGGUUUCUAGGAUUGACGUA